GGGGUUGUGGCUCAAAGGGGAGAGCGUUUGCCUAGCACUCAAGAGACACUGAGUUUGAUCCUCAGCACCA
This 70-nucleotide transfer RNA is filed under the name Ictidomys tridecemlineatus (thirteen-lined ground squirrel). Its description in RNAcentral is "Spermophilus tridecemlineatus (thirteen-lined ground squirrel) tRNA". It matches the Rfam family "tRNA". Rfam says of the family: Transfer RNA (tRNA) molecules are approximately 80 nucleotides in length. The record is from Rfam by way of RNAcentral. Lineage: Eukaryota; Metazoa; Chordata; Mammalia; Rodentia; Sciuridae.